This 254-nucleotide ribosomal RNA is filed under the name uncultured bacterium. RNAcentral's name for it is "partial 16S ribosomal RNA". It matches the Rfam family "Bacterial small subunit ribosomal RNA", at positions 524 to 776 of the family's 1533-position model. The record is from RNAcentral.
UACGGAGGAUCCGAGCGUUAUCCGGAUUUAUUGGGUUUAAAGGGUGCGUAGGCGGCCUUGUAAGUCAGGGGUGAAAGACGGUAGCUCAACUUAUCGCAGUGCCUUUGAUACUGCAGGGCUUGAAUGUACUUGAGGUAGGCGGAAUGUGACAAGUAGCGGUGAAAUGCAUAGAUAUGUCACAGAACACCAAUUGCGAAGGCAGCUUACUAAAGUAUGAUUGACGCUGAGGCACGAAAGCGUGGGGAUCAAACAGG